RNAcentral lists this ribosomal RNA (492 nucleotides) under uncultured bacterium. RNAcentral describes it as "partial 16S ribosomal RNA". It matches the Rfam family "Bacterial small subunit ribosomal RNA", at positions 29 to 507 of the family's 1533-position model. The record is from RNAcentral.
AGUGAACGCUGGCGGUAGGCCUAACACAUGCAAGUCGAACGGCAGCACAGUAAGAGCUUGCUCUUACGGGUGGCGAGUGGCGGACGGGUGAGGAAUACAUCGGAAUCUACUUUUUCGUGGGGGAUAACGUAGGGAAACUUACGCUAAUACCGCAUACGACCUACGGGUGAAAGCAGGGGAUCUUCGGACCUUGCGCGAUUGAAUGAGCCAAUGUCGGAUUAGCUAGUUGGCGGGGUAAAGGCCCGCCAAGGCGACGAUCCGUAGCUGGUCUGAGAGGAUGAUCAGCCACACUGGAACUGAGACACGGUCCAGACUCCUACGGGAGGCAGCAGUGGGGAAUAUUGGACAAUGGGCGCAAGCCUGAUCCAGCCAUACCGCGUGGGUGAAGAAGGCCUUCGGGUUGUAAAGCCCUUUUGUUGGGAAAGAAAAGCAGCAGGUUAAUACCCCGCUGUUCUGACGGUACCCAAAGAAUAAGCACCGGCUAACUUCGUG